UUUUGUUCUGGUGAGUGUACGGGCAGCAGCGUUCUGUAUAAGUUGGAGGCUCUUUAUUGAGUUGAUGCUGCAUCCGGACAGGAGAGCAUUGCAGUAAUCUAGUCGGGAAGUAAUAAAUGCGUGGAUAAGUUUUUCUGCAUCUUGGAGGGAUAGGACUUUUCUAAUUUUGGCAAUAUUGCGUAAAUGGAAAAAUGAUGUCUAAGAUCUGUUUUAUGUGUGAGUCAAGUAGGAGGUCUUGGUUGAUAGUUACACCAAGGUUUUUGAUGCUAGUAUUGGGUGUUGGGAUGCCAUCGAGUGUGGAUAGAUGGCUAGAUAGUGUCAUUCUCAAUUGAUCGGGGCCUACAAGCAUAACCUCCGUUUUAUCAGAGUUGAGGAGCAGGAAGUUGUUAGCCAUCCAAGAUUUUACAUCUUGCAGGCAAGUUUCUAUCUUGGGUAAAUUUACAAUUUCAUCAGGUUUCAUGGAUAGGUAGAGUUGGGUGUCAUCAGCAUAUCAGUGGAAGUUAAUGCCAUGGUUCCUUGUGACAGCACCUAAGGGUAGCAUGUAAAGGGAAAAGAGCAGUGGUCCGAGAACAGAGCCUUGGGAAACACCGUAGCUUACUCUAGUGUGAUUGGAUGACUUCUCAUGGACAUGAACGAAUUGAUGGCGAUCACAGAGGUAAGAUCUAAACCAGGAUAAGGCACAGCCUUUGAUGCCAACGUGAUGUUCAAGUCUCUGUAAUAGGAUAUGGUGAUCUAUAGUGUCGAAGGCGGCACUAAGGUCUAGGAGAACUAGUAUUGAGGUGCACCCAUGAUCGGAUGCGAUUAGUAGGUCAUUCAGGACUUUGACUAAGGCCGUUUCAGUGCUGUGGUGGGCUCUAAAGCCAGAUUGGAGGAUUUCUUCGAUUUUGUUUUGGUGUAGAAAGGAAGUAACUAGUAUUUUUGACAAGAAGGGGAGGUUAGAUAUGGGUCUAUAGUUAGCUAGAUUAUCAGGAUCAAGGUUAGGUUUUUUGAGAGAUGGUUUGAUCACUGCUAUUUUGAAUGAUUUGGGGACGUAUCCUGAAAUUAGUGAAUUAUUCAUUACAUUAAGUAAUGUCUCACUUAAUAAGGGUAGUGCAUGUUUAAGAAGUUUUGUGGGGAUAGGAUCUAGUAGGCACGUCGAUGAUUUAGAUGAGAGGAUCAGGGAGUUUAGUUCAGGGAGGUCAAUGGGUGCAAAGGAUUCAAGGAGAGCACCAGGUUGAGGGGGUGUUGCCAUAGCCAUAGGGCAUUUUGGAAGAGGUGUAAGGUCAAAGAGGGGGAGG
Clupea harengus (Atlantic herring) is the source of this 1277-nucleotide long non-coding RNA. The record is from Ensembl. Lineage: Eukaryota; Metazoa; Chordata; Actinopteri; Clupeiformes; Clupeidae.